CCGCAUCCAUAGUCUCUCAAAAUAAGGCGCCCAACCUUUAUUUCAUAUACUAUAGACUAUUUAGGCUAUAUACUCGAACUUGAUCCACGUUUAUGUUUACACAUAAAGUUCAAGUUUAUUCAAAAAAUAGCCUUGGAACUUGAUUUAUUGGAUUUAAGAUUAUAAUAUUUAAUUUCUCAAUAACAACUUUAUUGAAUAGAAUAUGAUUUACAAACUACAAGUUUUAGGACAAAAAAUUCCAACAGACACCUAGUACAACCAACAUUUACUAGCUCUACAAUGUAGUAGUGGGGCCUACCCAACACUUACAACAAAAUCUAACAUGUGUGCACACGAUACUAUAUAGACUCAGGCUCAACAUCUUAGUCAUGUAGUUAACAUAAAUCUUAAAAGGCCAUAUGAAAACAUUAAAACAUGUCUGUUAUCUUUAUCCUUCGUAAAACUUAAGCUUACUCAGAUUGUUCGUGGAAAAACUGAAAAUCUAAAAGCAUUAAAAUGAUAUUGUUUCAACUACUCUUCAGAAAGUCGAUAAUAACGUGCUCACAUAUAAGUUUCAUCAUAAAACCUAAGCUUGAAACUGUGGCUUGAAACUGUUCAUAGAAAUCAUGUAUUGUUCAUAAAAUCGAUUCAAACAAAGAUACAUAAUCAUAGAUAACAGUUUAGAAAUAUGUUUUGUCACACACAACCUUAGGCUAGUUUCCUAGUGUUUAGACAUAGCCUGUUAAACAAACCAAAAUUGAUUGUCAGAUCCUUAUAUAAUCUUGUAUCUUUAUAACAAACUUAAGAUGACGCACAAAAUAUGACAUUCAUCAAUUCUAAACUUAGAUAUAAAAGAACAUUUCAUAAUUUUCCCCGACAUUUUUCAUAUUCAACAACCUAACUUCAAACAUUUAUAACUUUCUCCAUACUUGACAAAUUAAUGUUCUUUAUAUCCUUAUGGCGAACCCAAACCGAAGAGACAACAUCUAUAAAAGAUGAAUCCUCAACCCAAUGGUUAAAGAAAUGAAACGAUACCAACCUCCGUCUCUGCUGAAAGUUAGGAUAGUAUAAAAUAGGGGAAUGGUAAGAAAUGCCCCAAGGAAAAACAUUAACUCUCGAUCUUGUUCAAGCAGCAAGCCAGUCAUCAUUUUUUAAAAAGUAAUAUUAUUAUAAAACAACAAUGAUGAGAAUCAUGAUGUUUCAUACGGACCAAUUACAAGAUCGAAGGCAUCAAAGAUUAAUCAAUCAUUCAUUCUCCAUGUACAAUAAUGGAUAAGGGCGGUUCAUCCUCAAUUUUAAGUGCCACGUACUGACACAAGAGAUGAAGGAUCAUUUGGACUAUUGAAUGUCAAUGUUUUCUCAGUUGAAGCAGACUAUAGGGUAGACAUUCAGCUUCCAUGAAGCCAACAAUUUGAAGACCUAAUGAUUUACUUAAUAUCGCAUUUACUUUUUAUUGUAUUUUCAUUUGUUUUAAUUUGACAAGUUAGUGUAACUACCAUUAAUAGCUUUGUAUUAAAUAUAGUGGUUGGAACAAAGUUGUUGGAAGAUAGAAAGCUUGAAACGUUUUCUUUUGACAUUUUCAUUACUUAGGACAAAAUCUCAACAAGGC
RNAcentral lists this long non-coding RNA (1588 nucleotides) under Cucumis sativus (cucumber). RNAcentral describes it as "long non-coding RNA (CSAT_LNC001898)". Lineage: Eukaryota; Viridiplantae; Streptophyta; Magnoliopsida; Cucurbitales; Cucurbitaceae. The record is from RNAcentral.